Molecule: long non-coding RNA, 1201 nt
Organism: Apteryx owenii (little spotted kiwi)
Lineage: Eukaryota; Metazoa; Chordata; Aves; Apterygiformes; Apterygidae
Source: Ensembl
GCAGGAUCCAUCAAUAUAGUGCUGAUGCAUGGUGGCGGCUUGUUUAGUUCAGAGGCCCCUACUUUCGUGCCYCUGAUACAGAUAGCAGAAAUACCUAGGAGUGGAAACCAUGAGACUUUCAGAUGCAAACUGUUAGAGCUGUGUGAAUACCCACUCAAGUCAAUUUUGAAGUUAAGCAACCAAGUUUUUCAGGCCCGGGACAUGAAGGAAACUUGUAGUCAGCUGUUGAGGUCUUCUGCUUUUCCGCUGUGUCACAGUCCAGCUCAUCACAGAAAUGAUUAAGUCCAUGCUACUCCUGUUUGUAGAAGAGCUGAGCCAGGGAGUGUUUCUGUGUUCAGAACUAUCUACCUGGCUGAUACUGUUAGAAUAAUAUCAAUAUUCUUCUAGUAAUAUCAAUAGAUCUAUAACUUUUUAAUAAUUUUUGUUUUAUUCGCCAGCACAAACACUUGCUCCUUGUUACUCUGCUGACCUAAAGCCAACAUCAGGGAGACUCAUCUCAGCAGUCAGCUGCACCGUGCUUUUGGCGGUACCACCGCUGAACACCAGUACAGUUGUGUUCUGGGAAUAUAAAAAUGGCCCUCACGAAGAAUUCAUCCUAAAGUAUUAUCUCAAUAAACCUGUAAAUACUACUUCUUCCUACAAAAACCGUACAAAGUUCAAUGAAACAGAUUUCUCUCUGCAAAUGGUGCUACAGCUGGGAGACAGCGGAAUGUACCGUUUUAGAACAGAGUCACAGGAAACGGACUGGUUCCAACUGGAAGUUAUUGAACCACUGCCUGCUCCAGAAAUCGUGGGCAACUCCUCUGUGAAAGCAGGAGGCAACACUAAACUGGUCUGCAACAUCUCAGAAGGGAAGGCAGACUCCUACUGGUGGAAGAAGAAUGGGGAGCUGCUGCUUGGGAGUGACCAUUUCCAGUUUGUUCAUAACAACACGUUGCAUAUCAUUGAAGCGACAAUGAACGACAGCGGCUACUAUGCUUGUGUGGUCCGCAACAAAGUGAGCCAGAAUGAAACCUCCUUCCUGCUUCAUGUUCAGAACGCGGCAAACAUGGUCUUACCUGUGGUGAUGGCAUGCGUUAUCGUUGGCUCUCUAAUAGGUGAGUGCUGUGAUUCACUCCUUACCCUGCCUUUUUGGCUUACUGCAUUAUCACUGAUGGGUACUACGGCAGAUAUUGCAAGUAAGAAGGGAUGGAGUGAGUGA